CCUACGGGAGGCAGCAGUAGGGAAUCUUCCACAAUGGGCGAAAGCCUGAUGGAGCAACGCCGCGUGGGUGAAGAAGGUCUUCGGAUCGUAAAACCCUGUUGUUAGAGAAGAAAGUGCGUGAGAGUAACUGUUCACGUUUCGACGGUAUCUAACCAGAAAGCCACGGCUAACUACGUGCCAGCAGCCGCGGUAAUACGUAGGUGGCAAGCGUUAUCCGGAUUUAUUGGGCGUAAAGGGAACGCAGGCGGGCUUUUAAGUCUGAUGUGAAAGCCUUCGGCUUAACCGGAGUAGUGCAUUGGAAACUGGGAGACUUGAGUGAAGAAGAGGAGAGUGGAACUCCAUGUGUAGCGGUGAAAUGCGUAGAUAUAUGGAAGAACACCAGUGGCGAAAGCGGCUUUCUGGUCGGUAACUGACGCUGAGGUUCGAAAGCGUGGGUAGCAAACAGGAUUAGAUACCCCUGUAGUC
RNAcentral lists this ribosomal RNA (465 nucleotides) under uncultured bacterium. Its description in RNAcentral is "partial 16S ribosomal RNA". It matches the Rfam family "Bacterial small subunit ribosomal RNA", at positions 338 to 795 of the family's 1533-position model. The record is from RNAcentral.